This is a long non-coding RNA of Ictalurus punctatus (channel catfish), 1678 nucleotides long. Lineage: Eukaryota; Metazoa; Chordata; Actinopteri; Siluriformes; Ictaluridae. The record is from Ensembl.
UAAGACAGCCAAGAGUCAACGAUUCACAUCACUACGUGGGGUGCCAAUACUUUUGAUACAGGGACAUAACGUUGUUACAGUGAAGAAGAGAAAUGAAACCGUUAUAACAUCGUAUCAGAAAUGUAAGAGAGGAACAAACUAGAAACUCACCACCGUGAAACGUUCCACUCAAGUCUCGCUCGCAACGUCGGUUCCGAUCGAUCUGUUCGAUCAUCCGCGUUUUCAGAAUCCGGCCUGGGCUUGAACGGAUGCGGUAAAACCGACGACAUCAUUAACUGUGUUUAGAAUCGCUUUAGAAGCCUUGGAAGCUGAAGCUCCCGAUUAGGGUAAGGGCCGUUACAUUUCCUACGCACACUUGAGGUUUUUGGCCAAUCACGACGCAACGGGUCAGCUGGCCAAUCAGAGCACUCUGGGCUUUUCGGAAGGCGGGGCUUUGGAGAAACCGGAACUCAAUCGGAGUCCAAAUGACUUCAAAAUAAACAACAACAAAAAAAAAACAACCAAACAUGAUGUACUGUGUAGUGUAAUUCCACCGCCAGGCGCUCUGCAGUCCCCUGAGUGCGUCGCCGAGUCUUACACUACUUUAAUGGAAAGACAGAGACUCUUGGCCCAUCCUCUCUCCGCCGAACAGUGAAUUAUAGGAACAGGUGCGCCGCUCCGCCUGCUCCAAAUGGAGUUCAAAUAUCUAAUUGAAAAAUUACAGCAGAGAUUAGCCCUGCUAAUUACUGCCCUUAAAGCCUCGUAGCAUCCGCACACUGCUAAUGCGCGCCGAGCCGGAGACUUCCGACAUGUUUAUAAUAGCGUGUCAGGUAUUUAACCAUGACCCCCCCCCCCCACUCCAUUUCUUUUUUUGCCGUUUGUCAGCUGUUGGACAGAGUGUGUGAAGACUCGAAGGUCUUACGUGGGUGCUUCUUGUGUGAAACGUGUUGCUUUUAUCCUGGCUUGACGAGCUCAUUAGAGCGUUGCAGAAGACUGGAACAUGAACGCUGUGAUCUUUUAUUCAUUCGCCAUUUCUGUGUUCUCCCCACUUCUUACCGCUCUGCGUACGACAUCCAUCACGCCUGAGAGAACCCGCGUUUCAGAAACCGAGAGACAGAGAGAAAGGAGAGAAAAAUAAAUGGGAUCGGUACGGCCGCUCCUGGCCAAACGGGUGCCCUAAGCAGAAUUGUGUUGAUGUUCCUCCCCCCUCCACCCACCCACUCCCUCCCUCCCUCCCUCCUCUCUCCUCCACAUGUUAUUGAAAAUAACAUUUUCAAUGAAAAGCAUUAAAAGAGCUUGUGUUAAACCUCGUAACUCCAUUGGAAAUAAUUUUUUUUAGUUUCAGGAAAAGUAACAGUUUCGGACAUACGAGGUUUCAGUCCGACAGCGACGAAUCGAUAUAUGAUAACAAUGAAGAAAUAAUAAUUGGGUCAAAUAAACUAUCAAAAGUAAGUCAUUUUAUGGUUUUAUUGAACAACACUGUUAAAAUACAUGAUGUAAUGUACAAUAUAUAAACAGUCAACUUAUGUUCAUUAUGUACUGUAAUAUAUCAAAUGCCUGCAGAGGGCGACAACAGCCUGGUGAUUGUUUUUGUUGCACUUUACAGAUCAAAUCCUUGUUUAAUAUUGGCCAAACCUUUCAUUAUAAAUGUCCUCUUAAUCUUUAAUAUUUGCUACAGCUUGGUGGGGGUCAAAUCACG